CCAACAGGGAUUGCCUUAGUAACGGCGAGUGAAGCGGCAAAAGCUCAAAUUUGAAAUCUAACGCCUCUGGUGUUCGAGUUGUAAUUUGGAGAGGCAUCUUCCGGAGUGGCCCAGCCUAUGUACCUUGGAACAGGACGUCAUAGAGGGUGAGAAUCCCGUUCUUGGCUGGAUGUUCACUCCCGUAUGUAGUGUCUUCUACGAGUCGAGUUGUUUGGGAAUGCAGCUCAAAAUGGGUGGUAAAUUUCAUCUAAAGCUAAAUAUUGGCGAGAGACCGAUAGCGCACAAGUAGAGUGAUCGAAAGAUGAAAAGCACUUUGAAAAUAGAGUCAAACAGUACGUGAAAUUGUUGAAAGGGAAGCGCUUGAGAUCAGAGUCAGCCUUUGGCAAACAACUGUCCUUUUGGGCGGUGCACUUGUCAUUGGUUGGGCCAGCAUCGGUUGGGACGGUGGGAUAAAGGCUUGGGAAAUGUGACUCCUUUAUGGAGUGUUAUAGUCCCAGGUGGCAU
This 504-nucleotide ribosomal RNA is filed under the name Tuber rapaeodorum. Its description in RNAcentral is "eukaryotic LSU rRNA". It matches the Rfam family "Eukaryotic large subunit ribosomal RNA", at positions 65 to 573 of the family's 3401-position model. Lineage: Eukaryota; Fungi; Ascomycota; Pezizomycetes; Pezizales; Tuberaceae. The record is from RNAcentral.